This 485-nucleotide ribosomal RNA is filed under the name uncultured bacterium. RNAcentral describes it as "partial 16S ribosomal RNA". It matches the Rfam family "Bacterial small subunit ribosomal RNA", at positions 27 to 507 of the family's 1533-position model. The record is from RNAcentral.
GAUUGAACGCUGGCGGCAUGCUUUCCCCAUGCAAGUCGAACGGCAGCGCGGGCUUCGGCCUGGCGGCGAGUGGCGAACGGGUGAGUAAUGCAUCGGAACGUGCCCAGUAGUGGGGGAUAGCCCGGCGAAAGCCGGAUUAAUACCGCAUACGACCUGAGGGUGAAAGCGGGGGACCGAAAGGCCUCGCGCUAUUGGAGCGGCCGAUGUCGGAUUAGCUAGUUGGUGGGGUAAAGGCUUACCAAGGCGACGAUCCGUAGCUGGUCUGAGAGGACGACCAGCCACACUGGGACUGAGACACGGCCCAGACUCCUACGGGAGGCAGCAGUGGGGAAUUUUGGACAAUGGGGGCAACCCUGAUCCAGCCAUGCCGCGUGCGGGAAGAAGGCCUUCGGGUUGUAAACCGCUUUUGUUCGGGAAGAAAUCCUCUGGGCUAAUACCCCGGGGGGAUGACGGUACCGGAAGAAUAAGCACCGGCUAACUACGUG